CUAUUAAGUAUUAAAAUUAAAUUGUCAAUAGGUCCGCAUAGAUUUUAAUAGGGAUUUGUACAUGAGUAGUUUAAUGUUUGAGUUAGCGUUUAUUGUUCAUAAGGAGUGUCUUGAGCAUGCACAGCUUAGUAUUUAACUUAAAGUAGUUUUAAUAUGAUGUGCCCAGGUCAGACUGCUGUCGAGUGUUAGUCCGAGAUGUUUAACCGUAGGCGAUGAAGGGACUUGGACAUCAUAAACAGUUACAGAACUGGACAUUGUGCUUGUUUAAGAGUGAAGCCUAAAAUUCAAACAAAAUACACAUGAACUAGUACUCUUUUUUGGUGCCAUUAUCCCAAAAAUAAUUUUAUAAAAAAAAAUAAAACAGUUACAAUAACUAAUGUCAAUCCAAAGUUGUUGUUAUUAAGUUGGAAAAUUGGAAUUCGAAGCUUAAAAACAAAUGAUCAUAUUAUCACAGAAUCAAAGAAUUAGAAAUCUUUCUUUGAUAAUAAGUUUGAGACAAUAACCACGGUAAUGAAAAUGCUAAUACAAAUAUCACAAAGUAGCACAAUU
Long non-coding RNA from Melanaphis sacchari, 549 nucleotides. RefSeq lists it as uncharacterized. The transcript has 3 exons. The record is from RefSeq and is a predicted model, not a curated record. Lineage: Eukaryota; Metazoa; Arthropoda; Insecta; Hemiptera; Aphididae.